Molecule: non-coding RNA, 130 nt
Filed under: Haloechinothrix halophila YIM 93223
Lineage: Bacteria; Bacillati; Actinomycetota; Actinomycetes; Pseudonocardiales; Pseudonocardiaceae
Also listed under: 1 other name
Description: Amycolatopsis halophila YIM 93223 SAM riboswitch aptamer (S box leader)
Rfam family: SAM riboswitch aptamer (S box leader)
About the family: The SAM riboswitch is found upstream of a number of genes which code for proteins involved in methionine or cysteine biosynthesis in Gram-positive bacteria. The SAM riboswitch acts at the level of transcription termination control.
Source: Rfam by way of RNAcentral
CGCUCAUCCAGAGGGGCAGAGGGAACGGCCCUGCGAAGCCCCGGCAACCGGCGUCAGCCAGUCAUCUCGAUCCGCGAGGUAGCUGACGAUCACGGUGCCAAUUCCGGCCCACCUGUGGGACAGAUGAGGA